RNAcentral lists this transfer RNA (74 nucleotides) under Bipalium adventitium. RNAcentral's name for it is "tRNA-Asn". Lineage: Eukaryota; Metazoa; Platyhelminthes; Tricladida; Geoplanidae. The record is from RNAcentral.
UAAAGUAUAGUGUUUAGAAAAAAAUGUUUGGCCGUUAACCAGAAGAAACUAUAUUUUUUUUUUAGUUGCUUUAU